UGUUAAGUUGUGUAGGGCACAUGGUGGAUGCCUUGGUACCAGAAGCCGAUGAAGGACGUGUGAGGCUGCGUUAAGCCUGGGGGAGUUGUCAACAAAGCUGUGAUCCCAGGAUGUCCGAAUGGGGAAACCCAGCAUCAUUUAUGUGGUGUUACCCGCGCCUGAAUGUAUAGGGCGUGUGGAGGGAACGCGGGGAAGUGAAACAUCUCAGUACCCGUAGGAAGAGAAAACAACCGUGAUUGUGUUAGUAGUGGCGAGCGAACGCGCAAGAGGCUAAACCGUGCAUCGUGUGAUACCCGGCAGGGGUUGCGUGUGCGGGGUUGUGGGACCCACUUUUCUCUAUCUGCCGAUGGAGAGGGUAGUAAGAAAGUGUCGUGUUAGGUGAAUCCGUUGGAAAGCGGAACGGUAAACGGUGAUAGUCCGGUAACCGAAAACAUGGCACCUGCCUUAGUGGGCACCCGAGUAGCAUCAGACUCGUGGAAUCUGUUGUGAAUCUGCCAGGACCACCUGGUAAGCCUAAAUACUUUCUGGUGACCGAUAGCGGAUUUAGUACCGUGAGGGAAUGGUGAAAAGUACCCCGGGAGGGGAGUGAAAUAGUACCUGAAACCAUGUGCUUGCAAUCCGUCAAAGCCUACGCGUGGGUUUACCUGCGGUGGGUGAUGGCGUGCCUUUUGAAGAAUGAGCCUGCGAGUUAGUGGUGCGUGGCGAGGUUAACCCGUGUGGGGUAGCCGUAGCGAAAGCGAGUCUGAAUAGGGCGAAUUGAGUCGCGUGUCCUAGACCCGAAGCGAAGUGAUCUACCCAUGUCCAGGGUGAAGCGGCUGUAAGAGGUCGUGGAGGCCCGAACCCACCAGCGUUGAAAAGCUGGGGGAUGAGGUGUGGGUAGGGGUGAAAGGCCAAUCAAACUUCGUGAUAGCUGGUUCUCCCCGAAAUGCAUUUAGGUGCAGCGUCGCGUGUUUCUUGCCGGAGGUAGAGCACUGGUUGGCCUAGGGGGCCGACAAGCUUACUGAAGUCAGCCAAACUCCGAAUGCCGGUAAGGCUAAUAGCGCGGCAGUGAGACUGCGGGGGAUAAGCUUCGUAGUCGAAAGGGAAACAGCCCAGAUCACCAGCUAAGGCCCCUAAGCGUGUACUGAGUGGAAAAGGAUGUGUCAUCGCGUAGACAACCAGGAGGUUGGCUUAGAAGCAGCCACCCUUGAAAGAGUGCGUAAUAGCUCACUGGUCAAGUGGUUUCGCGCCGACAAUGUAGCGGGGCUGAAGUACACCGCCGAAGCUGUGACACUCACACAAUAACCCGGCUCGCCAUUACGGUGGCGUGUCUAGGUGUGUGGGUGGGUAGGGGAGCGUCCUGUCACCAUAGAAGCAGCCGCGGAAGCGAGUUGUGGAGGUGGCGGGAGUGAGAAUGCAGGCAUGAGUAGCGAAAGCAGGGUGAGAAACCCUGCCGCCGGAUGACUAAGGGUUCCAGGGGCAGGCUAAUCCGCCCUGGGUAAGUCGGGACCUAAGGCGAGGCCGAAAGGCGUAGUCGAUGGACAACGGGUUGAUAUUCCCGUACCCGCGAAGAUACGACCAUGAUGAAUCUUGUGUGUGCUAACCACCCAAACCACCGCGACAUUGGCCUUCGGGCCGGUGAGUGUGUGGGGCGGCUGGGACCCCGCCUGGUAGUAGUCAAGCGAUGGGGUGACACAGGAGGGUAGCCGGUCCCGGUGACUGGUAGUGCCGGGCCAAGCAUGUAGCCCGUGGUAUAGGCAAAUCCGUACCACACGAGGGUGAGAUGUGACGGGUAGCCUGAAUGAAGGUGUAAGUCGGUGAUCCCAUGCUGUCGAGAAAAGCCUCUAGCGAUGUAUCGAGCGGCCCGUACCCCAAACCGACACAGGUAGUCAGGUAGAGAAUACUAAGGCGAUCGGGUGAACUGUGGUUAAGGAACUCGGCAAAUUGCCCCCGUAACUUCGGAAGAAGGGGGACCACACUCGGUGAAUGGAUUUACUCCAGGAGCUGGGGGUGGUCGCAGAAACCAGGGGGAAGCGACUGUUUACUAAAAACACAGGUCCAUGCGAAGAAGUAAUUCGAUGUAUAUGGACUGACGCCUGCCCGGUGCUGGAACGUUAAGAGGACCCGUUAACCCGUAAGGGUGAAGCGGAGAAUUUAAGCGCCAGUAAACGGCGGUGGUAACUAUAACCAUCCUAAGGUAGCGAAAUUCCUUGUCGGGUAAGUUCCGACCUGCACGAAUGGCGUAACGACUUCCCCACUGUCUCAACCACAGGCCCGGCGAAAUUGCAGUACGAGUAAAGAUGCUCGUUACGCGCGGCAGGACGGAAAGACCCCGGGACCUUUACUACAGCUUGGUAUUGAUGCUUUGGACAGUUUGUGUAGGAUAGGUGGGAGCCAGUGAACCGUGGACGCUAGUUCAUGGGGAGGCGUUGUUGAAAUACCACUCUGAUUGUUUGGAGUAUCUAACCUGCGACCGUUAUCCGGUCGAGGGACAGUGCCUGGUGGGUAGUUUAACUGGGGCGGUUGCCUCCCAAAAAGUAACGGAGGCGCCCAAAGGUUUCCUCAGCCUGGUUGGCAAUCAGGUGUCGAGUGCAAGUGCACAAGGAAGCUUAACUGUGAGACCGACGGGUCAAGCAGAUGCGAAAGCAGGGACUAGUGAUCCAGCACCGGCAAGUGGAAGCGGUGUUGCUCAACGGAUAAAAGGUACCCCGGGGAUAACAGGCUGAUCUUCCCCAAGAGUCCAUAUCGACGGGAUGGUUUGGCACCUCGAUGUCGGCUCGUCGCAUCCUGGGGCCGAAGCAGGUCCCAAGGGUUGGGCUGUUCGCCCAUUAAAGCGGCACGCGAGCUGGGUUUAGAACGUCGUGAGACAGUUCGGUCCCUAUCCGCCGCGCGCGCAGGAAACUUGAGAAGACCUGUCCCUAGUACGAGAGGACCGGGACGGACGAACCUCUGGUGUGCCAGUUGUACCGCCAGGUGCACGGCUGGUUAGCUACGUUCGGAACGGAUAACCGCUGAAAGCAUCUAAGCGGGAAACCGACUUCAAGAUAAAGUCUCCAUCACCUAGCGUGUGAAGGCUCCCAGCCAGACGACUGGGUUGAUAGGCCAGAAAUGUAAGCACAGCAAUGUGUUCAGUUGACUGGUACUAACAAGCCGACCACUUAACAAC
Molecule: ribosomal RNA, 3145 nt
Organism: Stackebrandtia nassauensis DSM 44728
Lineage: Bacteria; Bacillati; Actinomycetota; Actinomycetes; Glycomycetales; Glycomycetaceae
Rfam family: Bacterial large subunit ribosomal RNA
Source: Rfam